GCCGAUUUAGCUCAGUCGGUAGAGCAACCGUCUCGUAAGCGGUAGGUCGCCAGUUCGAUUCUGGCAAUCGGCA
RNAcentral lists this transfer RNA (73 nucleotides) under Gammaproteobacteria bacterium. Its description in RNAcentral is "tRNA-Thr". It matches the Rfam family "tRNA". Rfam says of the family: Transfer RNA (tRNA) molecules are approximately 80 nucleotides in length. Their secondary structure includes four short double-helical elements and three loops (D, anti-codon, and T loops). Lineage: Bacteria; Pseudomonadati; Pseudomonadota; Gammaproteobacteria. The record is from RNAcentral.